AUUGAACGCUGGCGGCAUGCUUUACACAUGCAAGUCGAACGGCAGCGGGGAGGAGCUUGCUUCUCUGCCGGCGAGUGGCGAACGGGGGAGUAAUACAUCGGAACGUGUCGAGAAGAGGGGGAUAACCACCCGAAAGGGUGGCUAAUACCGCAUAAAUUCUGAGGAAGAAAGCUGGGGACCUAGGAAUAGGCCUAGCGCUUUUUGAGCGGCCGAUGUCGGAUUAGCUAGUUGGUGAGGUAAAGGCUCACCAAGGCGAAGAUCUGUAGCGGGUCUGAGAGGAUGAUCCGCCACACUGGGACUGAGACACGGCCCAGACUCCUACGGGAGGCAGCAGUGGGGAAUUUUGGACAAUGGGGGCAACCCUGAUCCAGCCAUGCCGCGUGUAUGAAGAAGGCCUUAGGGUUGUAAAGUACUUUUGUUAGGGAAGAAAAGUCAGCUGUGAAUAAUGGCUGAUACUGACGGUACCUAAAGAAUAAGCACCGGCUAACUACGUG
This 494-nucleotide ribosomal RNA is filed under the name uncultured bacterium. RNAcentral's name for it is "partial 16S ribosomal RNA". It matches the Rfam family "Bacterial small subunit ribosomal RNA", at positions 30 to 507 of the family's 1533-position model. The record is from RNAcentral.